This 478-nucleotide ribosomal RNA is filed under the name uncultured bacterium. RNAcentral's name for it is "partial 16S ribosomal RNA". It matches the Rfam family "Bacterial small subunit ribosomal RNA", at positions 28 to 507 of the family's 1533-position model. The record is from RNAcentral.
GAUGAACGCUAGCGGCAGGCCUAACACAUGCAAGUCGAGGGAGAAGCCCUUUCGGGGGCAGAAACCGGCGCACGGGUGCGUAACGCGUAUGCAACCUACCUUUCACAGGGGGAUAGCCCGAAGAAAUUUGGAUUAAUACCCCAUAAUAUUAUUGGAUGGCAUCAUUUGAUAAUUAAAACUGCGGUGGUGAAAGAUGGGCAUGCGUCCUAUUAGCUAGUUGGAGUGGUAACGGCACCCCAAGGCUACGAUAGGUAGGGGUCCUGAGAGGGAGAUCCCCCACACUGGUACUGAGCCAGGGACCAGACUCCUACGGGAGGCAGCAGUGAGGAAUAUUGGUCAAUGGUCGGAAGACUGAACCAGCCAUGCCGCGUGCAGGAAGAAUGCCUUAUGGGUUGUAAACUGCUUUUAUAUGGGAAGAAUAAGGUGUACGUGUACAUUGAUGACGGUACCAUAUGAAUAAGCAUCGGCUAACUCCGUG